GAAACACGGACCAAGGAGUUCAACUGGAAUGCGAGUCGUAGAGUUAUUAAACUCAAAUCGGCGAAGCGAAAGCAAAUUUUGCGCGAAUCUUUUUUAUAAGAUGCAGCGCGGGCUGAUAAAGUAUGCUACGUAGAGCUUGCUGUGCGUGCACCUGCUAAUUUUUUAGCAGGACUUAUCAAGCUAAAGAGCAAUUUAGUUGAGACCCGAAAGAUGGUGAACUAUGCUCGGACAUGGUGAAGCCAGGUGAAAACUUGGUGGAAGCUUGCGUUGUGCGGAACUGACGUGCAAAUCGUUACCGCCUGACCUGAGUAUAGGGGCGAAAGACUCAUCGAACCAUCUAGUAGCUGGUUCCCUCCGAAGUUUCCCUCAGGAUAGCUCGAUAAUAUAACCGAGUAACACAAGGGUAAAGCAAUGAGACGCGGUAUCUGUGGGUCUUAUUUAAAUGACCUCGGCCUUCUCUCAAACUUUAAAUCUGUGCGAAAACAUAUUUGUUUACUUAAAAGCAUAUUUUAUGCGUGAAACUAUGUUUCAUAUCUAACAAUUCGUAGUGGGCCAUUUCUGGUAAGCAGAACUGGCGAUGAGGGAUUCAACCUGACGUUUUCAAGAUAAGCCGGGCUUAAUCAUAUCUGCUCCAACCUUCCGAUAAACGCGA
Molecule: ribosomal RNA, 652 nt
Filed under: Planoglabratella opercularis
Lineage: Eukaryota; Foraminifera; Rotaliida; Glabratellidae
Description: eukaryotic LSU rRNA
Rfam family: Eukaryotic large subunit ribosomal RNA
Source: RNAcentral